CUCUCUAUUUCACUACAGUCUUCACCCCCCAUGUUUUAUUUUAUAUGCAAUUCUGUGACUUGGUCAUUACCUCUUGUACUCUAAAACACUAAAGUUAUCCUAAAGGUACUACUGCUGAAAAAAAUCAGAAUAAUACCUAAAAUAAUUGCAAUGCGCAGUCUCUUCACAGUGUACCUUAUUCACUCUGGACUAUGCAGAGACCAUUCUUUGGAGGUGAUUGCCAUUGUCUAUUCCUAAGAGUCAUUUAGAUCAAUUCUUCCAUUCACUAAGAAUGGACAUGUCAUUUUUACUGUGUGUGUGUGUGUGUGUGUGUGUGUGUGUGUGUGUGUGUGUGUGUCUUGGGGCUUUGCUUGGGCUGGCUUUGACCCUCAUAUCUUAACCUUCUCCGCUAGGAUUAUAGGCAUGAACUACUGGUGCCUGAAUAAUUUUUACUCUUAAUCUUCUCUAGUUAAUUAUAUUCUUAUGGAAUUAGCAAAUAAUGCUCCUAAUUGUCAUUAUUUCAAAUAAAGUGACCACUUCCUUCGUUCUUCCAAUCUCUACAGUUCUGUUCCAGUCAGAGGCAGAUUCUUCUAUAGAUAUCACUCCCAUUUUAGCUCUUCUACUAUAUAUUCUAUAUUAUAUCAAAAACUGCUUAGCUUUCUACAUGCCUUUCAAAGAUGGCAGGCAAAUAAAGUACAUGAAAGUCAGAGAUGGCUUGUGACAAAAACAAUCACUGUCUUAUUUUUUUCUGUAAUUUCUAUCCCAGAGCAUUUGUCAAAGUAAUGAUAUGAUGAAUGAAUUGUAAUGAGAUUCAACUGCAUAUCAAAUAUAGAAAUGUUAACAAAAUCUCUCUUCUUGUGACUGCUUAAUGCAAUUGUUAAGACUCCCUUCUUCUCCUCUGCUCAUCACUAAGCUCUAUGCACAACACAAGCACUCAUUUUGGAGACUUAGUACUGUGAGCACUGCUCACAUGAGGUACAUAAGCCUGCCUAAGAUUAAAAAAAAAAAAAAGACUCCCAUUAUUAUUUUAAGAAAAGAACAGGUUCCAAAAUGGAAAAAAAUAUCUAAAAUAAUAAGACUACUAGUCAAUUCUUUCAGUCACAGAAAAUAAAAUAUCCAUUAAGACCAUGUUGUUUCUACUGUGUAAAUUUCAACCAUGGAGUAAUGUUUUUUUUUAACACUAAUCAAUAGACUUCUUUACCCUAUUUCUAAUUGUUAAAAUCAUUUAUUGAUGGAAGUCCUACCUUGCUUACCUCUAGACUCAUCAGUAAUAUCUUAUCUUUUUUGUCACCCAGUCAAACUUAGUGACUUUGAUUAUUUCAUAUUUGUAAGGGAUAACAAUCUGUUAACAAGUUUUGCAGAAGGAAGUUCAAAAUAUGAAUCAUCAUAUAAAAACAUCACAAUACUCCCAAUUACUGAACUAAGUACAUGAUCUAGCCAGUCACAUUUGUUACUACCUCACAGUUCAGCAAUGGGCACCUUCCUUUGUAUAUUCAAGACUUUCCUAAAAAAAAAAAAUAAAAAAAAAGACGAGGAUUCAAGGAAAAUUAAGUAAAUCACACUUAAUUCCAUUUGUUACCUAUUAUAUGAAAGGCUUUGAGGCAGAUGAAAAUAGCUUUAAAAUAGCUUUAAAAUAAAGAGAGGCAAACUGUUAUGGAGAAAGUAACAAAAGGAACAAACAGAAUGAACCAAGAAAAGGACAAAUAGAUCUUCAGGUUCAAGCUGAACUGGUGAUGUCACCAAAGGUUCGUCCCACUUAGCACCCUUUUCAGAUCUAUUCCAUUAUUUUGGGCAGUCUAGACCAUUCAUUAAAGAUAGACUGAAAAUUAUUCCGUGCUAGGUAUACUGAUGAUGUUCUUACCAAUGUAUGUGAGUUCUCUUGGAGAUGUUUAAUGUCAGUUAUCUUAUUACAUUCUCUAUUCUAAAUGAAUACUGUAAAUCAAUUUUAAAACAAAACAAUCACAUAUAUGGAAAAUGAAACUCACAUCUUUUCAUCUAUCUUCUAAUUUACAGAAAUGAUUGUAGAACUAAUGUUUUAGAAUACAACUUGUUGCCUAAAUGAAGAACCAGGGUCCCCAAAGUUUCAGAGGGGAUGUUUAUGUCUUUUCUGUAAAAUCAGUUGUCAAAUGUUCAGAGUCAGCUGGGUGCCAGAGGCUCAGGCCUGCGGCUCAAGCCUGUUACCCUAGUAACUGAGGAGGCUGAGACCUGAGGAUCAUUGUUCAAAGCUAGACUCAAGCUGGAGAGUCUGUG
Long non-coding RNA from Perognathus longimembris pacificus (Pacific pocket mouse), 2229 nucleotides. RefSeq lists it as uncharacterized. The transcript is spliced from 3 exons. Lineage: Eukaryota; Metazoa; Chordata; Mammalia; Rodentia; Heteromyidae. The record is from RefSeq and is a predicted model, not a curated record.